AAGUCGUAACAAGGUUUCCGUAGGUGAACCUGCGGAAGGAUCAUUAUCUAUUUUAACGGUGUUGGUUGCGGCCUCCGGGGGUAUUCCCCCUGGGUGGUAGAGGUAAUACUCGCGCGCGCCACAUGCCUUAAUCCUUUUUUUACGAGCACCUUUCGUUCUCCUUCGGUGGGGCAACCUGCCGUUGGAACUUAUCAAAAACCUUUUUUUGCAUCUAGCAUUACCUGUUCUGAUACAAACAAUCGUUACAACUUUCAACAAUGGAUCUCUUGGCUCUG
This 275-nucleotide unclassified non-coding RNA is filed under the name Paracamarosporium fagi. RNAcentral describes it as "partial internal transcribed spacer region". The stretch from base 1 to 46 matches the Rfam family "Eukaryotic small subunit ribosomal RNA", at positions 1786 to 1831 of the family's 1831-position model. Lineage: Eukaryota; Fungi; Ascomycota; Dothideomycetes; Pleosporales; Didymosphaeriaceae. The record is from RNAcentral.